GAGGGUCAGUGCCUGCGCAUCCCCGUCGCGCAGGCAGACAUUGCUGGGACGGAGCCGAUGUGAAGGAGAACUCCGCUUUUUGGCGUUAAUUUUGCCGCUAAGCCCCCCGCUGCCGCCUCUGUUUCCACACCCGAGACACCCUGGGAUACUGAAGAUGAUUUUACACGCCAAAUCUGCAUUAUGAGAUGGAAGGCACAUAGGCUGAGAUGAUGAGAAAGACAGUUAAAUCUCGGUCUACUGAGAGCUCUGCUGCUGCCGAGCGUUUAGCCGAUUAUAAAGGAGAUG
This is a non-coding RNA of Penaeus vannamei (Pacific white shrimp), 285 nucleotides long. Lineage: Eukaryota; Metazoa; Arthropoda; Malacostraca; Decapoda; Penaeidae. The record is from RefSeq and is a predicted model, not a curated record.